GGAUGUGAGGGGGGUCUGGCUGUGACGUCUGUCAUCCCACUGAUUGCCAGGGUUGAUUCAGCUGAUCUGCCUGGCUAGGCAGGUCUCCCCUUCUUCCCUCACUGCUCCAUGUGCAUCCCUCCCUAAGCUGCGUGCUAGGUUGAAGAGGACAACCUUCCCCGAUAGAGGCGAGUCAUUCUUUGGUCAACGGUAUACGAGUAGCUGCGCUCCCCUGGUAGAACCUCCAAACAAGCUCUCAAAAACCUGCACAUGAUGUUUAUAGCAGCUUUAUUCAUAAUUGCCAAAACUUGGAAGCAGCCAAGAUAUCCUUCAGUAGGUGAAUGGAUAAAUAAACUGUAGUACAUCCAGAUAA
This 352-nucleotide small nuclear RNA is filed under the name Prolemur simus (greater bamboo lemur). Its description in RNAcentral is "7SK RNA (ENSPSMG00000012105.1)". The stretch from base 1 to 306 matches the Rfam family "7SK RNA". From Rfam's summary of the family: 7SK was discovered as an abundant small nuclear RNA in the mid-70s but a possible function has only recently been suggested. Two independent studies have found that 7SK RNA binds the CDK9/cyclin T complex (known as elongation factor P-TEFb). P-TEFb activates transcription by phosphorylating the C-terminal domain of RNA polymerase II. Lineage: Eukaryota; Metazoa; Chordata; Mammalia; Primates; Lemuridae. The record is from RNAcentral.